AGCUCCAAUAGCGUAUAUUUUAGUUGUUGCAGUUAAAAAGCUCGUAGUCGAAUUUCUGGUGGGGGAAUGCAGUUCAAGCUAUGCUUGAUACUCGCACUCUCCGGCCAUCUUUGAGUGGAGCCUGUCUGGCAUUAAGUUGUCGGGCUGGGGAUGCUCAUCGUUUACUGUGAAAAAAUUAGAGUGUUCAAAGCAGACUUAUGUCGUUGAAUAUAUUAGCAUGGGAUAAUAAGAUAAGACUUCGGUACUAUUUUGUUGGUUAGGUGCCGUUGUAAUGAUGAACAGGGACAGUUGGGGGUAUUCGUAUUCACUUGUAAGAGGUGAAAUUCUUAGAUUAAGGGAAGACGAACUACUGCGAAAGCAUUUACCAAGGAUGUUUUCA
This 379-nucleotide ribosomal RNA is filed under the name uncultured marine Chaetocerotaceae. RNAcentral describes it as "SSU rRNA". It matches the Rfam family "Eukaryotic small subunit ribosomal RNA", at positions 587 to 972 of the family's 1831-position model. Lineage: Eukaryota; Bacillariophyta; Thalassiosirophyceae; Chaetocerotales; Chaetocerotaceae. The record is from RNAcentral.